RNAcentral lists this ribosomal RNA (261 nucleotides) under Triticum aestivum (bread wheat). Its description in RNAcentral is "partial small subunit ribosomal RNA". The record is from RNAcentral. Lineage: Eukaryota; Viridiplantae; Streptophyta; Magnoliopsida; Poales; Poaceae.
AACAUUGCAAUUACUAACGUCUAUGCCCCCUCCCGCCGUUCUCAAAAACAAUCCUUCUUGGACGAGCUUUUAUCCAUCAAGCAGGAUGAUUCGACUCCCUGGCUCCUGAUCGGUGAUUUUAACUUGCUUCACUUCUCGGACGAAAAUAAUAAAUAGAACUUUCGGCAAAGCGAAGCCACGGCCUUUAAUGACACUAUCAAUGAACUAGCCCUAAUAGAACUCCCAUUACUGGACCGCCAUUUUACUUGGUAAAAUAAUUGA